CGAAAAGAUUCCAGGCAAACUGUCACUGCCAAGUAGGCAUCUGCCUACCUGCAUGGCUCCCUUGGCUGCCUGAGUUCAUAAGCUCCACUCCCAAAGGUGGCUUCCCGCCAAAGCUGGGAGCUGGCUACCCAAUCCUAACUCGAUCUCAGUCUCCCAUUAAAGCCCCAUGUGCUCGGGAGCAGCUUUGCAAAUCGCUAAUGGUUUCUUUUUUCGGGAAAAGAGAGAGGCAGGCCAGUGUAGCAGCCAGCUGACUGACAGAAAUCCACAAAGCUGGCAGCCGGCCCGGCCCAGAAGACAAAAGGGUCUUUGGUUCACCUGUCAAGACUGUGCUCCUUCCUCAGGUCUCUUCCCGUGGAGCUUAUCUGAUUCCUCCAGCCAGCUGACUGGCCAUAACAUAAGCUGGAUCUAUCAGAUUUUUCUCCUGGGAAUUUGGCAUUGUGACUCAGAGCCGGCUAGUCAGUCUAUUUGUUGCUGGGAGCAGAGCAUAAACCAUAUUCUUCCAUGUGGACGAAGAACCUGUGAAGCCUCUUCAGAGAGAGAAGUUUUACAACAAAGCAGCAAAAGCAAGAAAUAGUGUCGAGUCUUUGCCGUCUUCUGUCCUGCUCUGUGCCUUGGGGACUGAGAAUGGGAUUAUCACCACCCACCGCCCCCUCCCCUUUUAACCACACCCCAUGACCUUGUGAUUUCAUUUUUGAGUUCUUUUUUUAAUUGCUUCAAUCCUAUUAUGUUUUUCUAUAACACAAAGCAUAUGCAUGGGAUUUGCUUUUAUUCCCUGAGUUAUAGUUUUCUUUUAGACUAGGUUCUUUGUCUUUUCCUGUUAUGCUUUUUCCCCCUCUGCAGAGCGUUUUACAGCUUCCAUGUGGUUUUCUUUUUCAUCUCAUGGUUAUCAUGAGACACUUGUCCAGAAUUUCUAUUUGAUCCACUAUAGUGUGUGAGUGAGUUCCCUUUAAAUUCUUUUCCACUGAGACCUAUUUAUAUAUCUCUAAACUACAAAUAAAGCCUGGGCAUCCCAGGUCCUAGCCA
Molecule: long non-coding RNA, 1023 nt
Filed under: Vulpes vulpes (red fox)
Lineage: Eukaryota; Metazoa; Chordata; Mammalia; Carnivora; Canidae
Description: lncRNA (ENSVVUG00000026160.1)
Source: RNAcentral